CAGCUGUCACCAAAGCCCAGCUUGAUAAAGUUGUGUUGGACAAGACGGAGGAGAAAGCGGCCUUUGACCUGGUGCUUGAGAAGGCGGCAGCUGAGGCGGCGGCACAGAAGGCCAUUGCUGACAAGACGCUCGUUGACUUCGGAGAGCUGCAGGUGAGUGUCUAGCAGUAUUUUCUGACCUUAAGGGGAAGCUCAGCUGAGGUCCUAGCGCUUUCUCUAAACACCUUAGCGGCUUUGUUGUGGUUACCUCAUGAUCCACAGCGGCGGUUUAAUGGUUGAAGUCGAGCUUGAGAUCGCCUGUGCUACCUGUGGUACAGCUCGUUUGAUAUCUUGCUUCUACGAGGAGCCUAUGCGUUGCUAAUCGCUGAGCAUGGGGCAAUUGCUGGGGGGAAACACCCGGGCCAUGGGUCCAGGGAUCGUUUUUGUCUUGGCCACGCUGCUGUACUGGGAAAUGCCUAUGCUGGCGGGUAAUUGGUUGCAUUUUUGGUGUACUUAAGCCGUGCUAAUAAUUUCUUCGUAAGUGAUGGACAUGGCCGACAAAGUUAAACUAUUACGUAAGCCAUCGAGAUAAUAGCGAGGUCAACAGUCGCAGCGGAAGGUGAAGGACUUUGUAUCUCUGACUACAAGCAAGUAUAUAUGUACACACACACAUAUAUAUAUAUACACACACAUAUAUAUAUACACACACAUAUAUAUACACACACAUAUAUAUAUAUAUAUAUAUAUAUAUGUACACACACACUCAUAUAUAUAUAUAUAUACACACACAUAUAUAUAUACACACAUAUAUAUAUACACACACACAUAUAUAUAUAUAUAUAUAUAUAUAUAUAUGGCAAGUGUAUGCUACCUGUGUUCGGUUUUUAGCGUCGAGAUUCCUGAUUAAAGCAGCCAGGCACCUUACAUGAUGACCGUGCCAAUCAGAGCUCAUCAGUAAUAACAUUGUUAUGGUCCAUAGACAGGGUUAAAGUAUCAUGGAUAUGACCGAUAAAUAGAUAGCAUAUAGAUCCAUGGUAUACAAUGGUAUAUAGGUCGUGCUAUGGCAUUAUAGAUAGCCAUGAGAAUAGAAGGUUUGUAGACAUUCCUCUCUUUUACAGGCGUCAGCUGCGGCAUCCCAUUGUAGUGGAAAGUGAAGCAAGCCAUGGCAAGUGAAGCACGCAUUACCAUCCACUUCAACUACUGGCUUGCGUGAGUGACCUAAGAGGCCUGCAACCCAGGUAGUGCCGAUGCUGCUCUGCUUUGAUUCCUACAGUCCAGGCAGUGCCGUGAUGCUAUAUAUAGUGCUUAUGGCAACCGUUGUGGCAUUUCACGCACAACGGGCGCACACAUGGGUGAUCACGACAUUUACGCGCUGCGUUACAUGAUAUGCGGAUCCAUAUCUGUUACGGGGAGGGUCGGUGUCGCAUGGGGACCUCCGCAUAUGUUGACCUCCGUCUGCGUCGCUGGGCCGAAGACAUGAAGGCAUUAGGCGGGCGGUAUGGAGUGGCAAAGGCAAGCGAAACCUAGAAGGAGGACAGCUAAUCUGCAAAGCCGCACUUAAGGAUGCUGUGUUCGUCAUUCUCUUUGGCAUUUCCAGCUACCACUUUUGGAAAGAGAGGGAGAGUCUGUGUAUGUGACUGUUUUACACCUGGACUUGCAUACUCUCCAAAGGUGUAACGGGCCCAUACGAGCCGGCUACGAGCCGGCCCAUACGAGCCGAAGGCUGCCCGAAAUAGAUAGGCAUGUAAAAAUGCAUGAGAGAAAUAUUCUUAUUCUAUCGCUCGAAGAAGACACUAUUCAGACUGCUAUGCUGUAGCAGUGCGCUUGCUAUAUGAGACCCUCUGUACUGUGGAUGGGGCUCGCAAGCUUGAAUUGGUUAUCCGCUACUAUCACAUCCUUCACAGUCUGAUUAAUCUGAAACCGGACAGAAGGCCCCUGCGUAUGCUAUAUACUGGGCAGUCCGUCUUGGAGCUCGCAGGACUUGCGCUAUCGCGCGAUCCCCCAUACACGUUUUUGCUUCUAGCGGGCAGCAACAUAUACGAAAAUGCAUUAGCAACUGACGCAUAUCGACAAUAAUAAAGAUAUUGGUAUUCGGCAUUCGUGUUUUUCCUUCGCUAGACGAGGAUAGGAGGGAGCCUCGGGGGUAAGGAGGUACUGGAAUCCCCAGAAGCGCCCUCCCAUUAUUAUGUGUCCCAUAUGCGUCCCAUAUGCUCCUGAAAUCUAUUAGCGUACUAGGCUCUUUGCGGGACGGAAGCUAGCAGCGCUACUCGUGCGUGCACUGACAUAAUACACAAGCGGGAUGCACGGUCCUGCAAUAAAGUAUGCGCGUCGUAUUGACCUGCUCAACAUGCAGGCCGGUAAAGGCUGCCCUGUGUCACGGCGUCGUGAUUCCAUAUAUAUGUAUUGUCAAAUGGAGAACAAUGAAAGCAAGUCACCAUCGUAGUAGCAGUGCUGGUUAAUGUACCUGUGCUCCCCUCAACCUUCAGUCUUAAUAAUUUAGAUAAGAGCGAUUUUGACUCAUGCAUUAAGUUUCCUUCGCCCGCCUGCAGGAAUCAGCGGCUGCGGCCAAGGCCCAGUUUGACAAGUUCGUGUUGGACAAGACGGAGGAGAAAGCGGCCUUUGACCUGGUGCUGGAAAAGACGGCGGCUGAGGCGGCGGCACAGAAGGCCAUUGCUGACAAGGCGUUAGUUGACUUCGGCGAGCUGCAGGUAUUGUGCUUGGGGAAGGGUCUCGCGUACUUCGAGGAGGUCUGGAUUGAUAAUCACCCCAAAUUCUGCUGCUCACGAGCAGGAGUCUUCAACGGCUGCUAAGGCCCAGUUUGACAAGUUCGUAUUGGACAAGGCGGAGGAGAAAGCGGCCUUUGACUUGGUGCUGGAGAAGACGACGGCUGAGGCGGCGGCACAGAAGGCCAUUGCUGACAAGGCGUUAGUGGACUUCGGCGAGCUGCAGGUAUUGUGCUUGGGGAAGGGUCUCGCGUACUUCGAGGAGGUCUGGAUUGAUAAUCACCCCAAAUUCUGCUGCUCACGAGCAGGAGUCUUCAACUGCCGCCAAGGCCCAGUUUGACAAGUUCGUGUUGGACAAGGCGGAGGAGAAAGCGGCCUUUGAUCUGGUGCUGGAGAAGACCACAGCUGAGGCGGCGGCACAGAAGGCCAUUGCUGACAAGGCGUUAGUGGACUUCGGCGAGCUGCAGGUAUUGUGCUUGGGGAAGGGUCUCGCGUACUUCGAGGAGGUCUGGAUUGAUAAUCACCCCAAAUUCUGCUGCUCACGAGCAGGAGUCUUCAACUGCCGCCAAGGCCCAGUUUGACAAGUUCGUGUUGGACAAGGCGGAGGAGAAAGCGGCCUUUGAUCUGGUGCUGGAGAAGACGACAGCUGAGGCGGCGGCACAGAAGGCCAUUGCUGACAAGGCGUUAGUGGACUUCGGCGAGCUGCAGGUAUUCUGCUUGGGAAAGGGUCUCGCGUACUUCGAGGAGGUCUAUUAUUGAUAAUUAACCCAAAAUUGGCUGCUCACGAGCAGGAGUCUUCAACUGCCGCCAAGGCCCAGUUUGACAAGUUCGUGUUGGACAAGGCGGAGGAGAAAGCGGCCUUUGACUUGGUGCUGGAGAAGACGACGGCUGAGGCGGCGGCACAGAAGGCCAUUGCUGACAAGGCGUUAGUGGACUUCGGCGAGCUGCAGGUAUUCUGCUUGGGAAAGGGUCUCGCGUACUUCGAGAAGGUUUGUUUUGAU
RNAcentral lists this long non-coding RNA (3702 nucleotides) under Volvox carteri. Its description in RNAcentral is "long non-coding RNA (VCAR_LNC001007)". The record is from RNAcentral. Lineage: Eukaryota; Viridiplantae; Chlorophyta; Chlorophyceae; Chlamydomonadales; Volvocaceae.